GUUCUGAUUCUUCCAUGGUUGUCUUCUUCUUCUUCUUCUUGCUCUGUUUUUU
RNAcentral lists this small RNA (52 nucleotides) under Arabidopsis thaliana (thale cress). Its description in RNAcentral is "ATSL214140". The record is from RNAcentral. Lineage: Eukaryota; Viridiplantae; Streptophyta; Magnoliopsida; Brassicales; Brassicaceae.